ACAAUGAAGAGUUUGAUCCUGACUCAGGAUGAACGCUAGCGGCAGGCUUAACACAUGCAAGUCGAGGGGCAGCGUGGAGUAGCAAUACUCUGACGGCGACCGGCGAAAGGGUGAGUAACGCGUGAGCAACAUGCCCGGUAGUGGAGGAUAGUCGAUGGAAACGUCGUGUAAUACUCCGUAACAACAGAGACCGCAUGAUCUUUGUUUAAUAGAUUUAUUGCUAUCGGAUUGGCUCGCGUACCAUUAGCUAGUUGGCGGGGUAACGGCCCACCAAGGCGACGAUGGUUAGGGGUUCUGAGAGGAAGGUCCCCCACAUUGGAACUGAGACACGGUCCAG
This 337-nucleotide ribosomal RNA is filed under the name Bacteroidales bacterium. RNAcentral's name for it is "bacterial SSU rRNA". It matches the Rfam family "Bacterial small subunit ribosomal RNA", at positions 1 to 334 of the family's 1533-position model. Lineage: Bacteria; Pseudomonadati; Bacteroidota; Bacteroidia; Bacteroidales. The record is from RNAcentral.